CGGGAAGUGGCGCAGCUUGGUAGCGCGCAGCGUUCGGGACGCUGAGGCCGCGGGUUCAAGUCCCGCCUUCCCGA
RNAcentral lists this transfer RNA (74 nucleotides) under Acidimicrobiales bacterium. RNAcentral's name for it is "tRNA-Pro". It matches the Rfam family "tRNA". From Rfam's summary of the family: Transfer RNA (tRNA) molecules are approximately 80 nucleotides in length. Their secondary structure includes four short double-helical elements and three loops (D, anti-codon, and T loops). Further hydrogen bonds mediate the characteristic L-shaped molecular structure. tRNAs have two regions of fundamental functional importance: the anti-codon, which is responsible for specific mRNA codon recognition, and the 3' end, to which the tRNAs corresponding amino acid is attached (by aminoacyl-tRNA synthetases). tRNAs cope with the degeneracy of the genetic code in two manners: having more than one tRNA (with a specific anti-codon) for a particular amino acid; and 'wobble' base-pairing, i.e. permitting non-standard base-pairing at the 3rd anti-codon position. The record is from RNAcentral. Lineage: Bacteria; Bacillati; Actinomycetota; Acidimicrobiia; Acidimicrobiales. RNAcentral also lists the same sequence under 2 other names.